ACGGAAGGCAGCAGUGGGGAAUAUUGCACAAUGGGCGAAAGCCUGAUGCAGCGACGCCGCGUGAGUGAAGAAGUUAUUCGUAACGUAAAGCUCUAUCAGCAGGGAAGAAAAUGACGGUACCUGACUAAGAAGCCCCGGCUAACUACGUGCCAGCAGCCGCGGUAAUACGUAGGGGGCAAGCGUUAUCCGGAUUUACUGGGUGUAAAGGGAGCGUAGACGGCAUGGCAAGUCUGAAGUGAAAUCCCGGGGCUCAACCCUGGAACUGCUUUGGAAACUGUCAAGCUAGAGUGCAGGAGAGGUAAGCGGAAUUCCUAGUGUAGCGGUGAAAUGCGUAGAUAUUAGGAGGAACACCAGUGGCGAAGGCGGCUUACUGGACGGUAACUGACGUUGAGGCUCGAAAGCGUGGGGAGCAAACAGGAUUAGAUACCCUGGUA
RNAcentral lists this ribosomal RNA (434 nucleotides) under uncultured Clostridium sp. Its description in RNAcentral is "partial 16S ribosomal RNA". It matches the Rfam family "Bacterial small subunit ribosomal RNA", at positions 341 to 792 of the family's 1533-position model. Lineage: Bacteria; Bacillati; Bacillota; Clostridia; Eubacteriales; Clostridiaceae. The record is from RNAcentral.